UUUUAGCACAUCUAUAAGUUUGCGUAUGCAAUAUUGAUGUCCGUCUUAUUUAAAAAAAAUAGAUUAGUAUUUUUGUUGUUAUUAUAUAAUAAAACAUGAAUAUUACCUUAUGUGUGACUUAUGUUUUUAAUUUUUUUAAAAAAUAAGAUGGACGAUCAAAGUUGGACAUAAAAACUCAUGGUUGCACUUAAA
Molecule: non-coding RNA, 192 nt
Organism: Oryza meridionalis
Lineage: Eukaryota; Viridiplantae; Streptophyta; Magnoliopsida; Poales; Poaceae
Source: Rfam